UUUUUUUUUCCUUUUUUG
RNAcentral lists this small RNA (18 nucleotides) under Arabidopsis thaliana (thale cress). RNAcentral describes it as "ATSL259340". The record is from RNAcentral. Lineage: Eukaryota; Viridiplantae; Streptophyta; Magnoliopsida; Brassicales; Brassicaceae.